GAUGAAGAACGUAGCGAAAUGCGAUAAGUAAUGUGAAUUGCAGAAUUCAGUGAAUCAUCGAAUCUUUGAACGCACAUUGCGCCCGCCAGUAUUCUGGCGGGCAUGCCUGUUCGAGCGUCAUUACAACCCUCAGGCCCCCGGGCCUGGCGUUGGGGAUCGGCGGAGCCCCCCGUGGGCACACGCCGUCCCCCUAAUACAGUGGCGGUCCCGCCGCAGCUUCCAUCGCGUAGUAGCUAACACCUCGCGACUGGAGAGCGGCGCGGCCACGCCGUAAAACACCCAACUCUUCUGAAGUUGACCUCGAAUCAGGUAGGAAUACCCGCUGAACUUAAGCAUAUCAAUAAGCGGAGGA
Molecule: unclassified non-coding RNA, 352 nt
Filed under: soil metagenome
Description: partial contains 5.8S ribosomal RNA, internal transcribed spacer 2, and large subunit ribosomal RNA
Rfam family: 5.8S ribosomal RNA (bases 1-120)
Source: RNAcentral